Molecule: long non-coding RNA, 2403 nt
Organism: Oncorhynchus mykiss (rainbow trout)
Lineage: Eukaryota; Metazoa; Chordata; Actinopteri; Salmoniformes; Salmonidae
Source: RefSeq, a predicted model, not a curated record
AAUGAACUUUGGCUAUCUACCUGGGAGUCUCGUGAGUGAAAACAUCCGAAGUUCAUCAAAGGUGAAUUACAGGAGAAGGUGAUUCACUCAAUCCAACCAGGAGACUGGGUGUGGAUUCAGUCCCUGAGGAAAAAAGACUGGAAGCAGACCCGUUGGGAAGAACCAUACCAGGUUCUGUUAACCACUGCCUUUGCCCACUGCAAAAAGGUAUGUACACAUAUAAGCACUGCUGAUCACACACAGAGUUAGGAGAAGAACCGAGAACCAACAGGGUCCGGGGAUUACCUCCUUAACCAAGAUUCCCUAUCCCGACCGUUCAUCACUGUGUGUGCUCCUAGAAGUGUGAGUAUGGGGUGGUACCUAGCAGACGGACUAAGGGCAGGAGAGGGUUGGCGGUUUUGGGGAAUAUUAGGGACUCUGAGCUGCAUCAUAGUCUUGGUAAUGUUUCUGAUACAUUCAGAUCCACCACCUUCCGGUACUAAUUAUAGGACGCUGUUGUCAUUGAUAAGAAGUAAAAGACAAACAAUAUAAAAUACUGACCAUCAAGGAUGAGUGACUUACAGAAUAAGGAGACAAAGAAGGUCAAGAUGUAGGAUCUAAGAUAAACAUUAAACAAUUUCCUCAGAAAGCAAAUAACUUCACAGGGAUUGGGUUGGCUUGAUUGAAGUACUUGGCCAACUCACUUCGGUUCACUUUAACUCCUGAUGAGUACCAGUGUUAUAGAUACAAGAAGGGCACCGAGAACUUAGGUGAUUUUAAUGGCUGUAAGGCAAUCGUUAUUGUGACUGACUAUUUAAUGGCUGUAAGGCAAUCACUUAACCUCACAGCACCUAUAACUGAUUUAUGGUGGGCUUGUACCAGCAAAGGAUGCAUACGAUAGACACUACCAAAAGGGUGGUUAGGAACUUGCGCCCUGGUGUUAUUGGUCCAACCAGUUCGAGUUAGUCAUCAGAGGUCAGUUAUAGGAGGCUAAAGAAGGCACAGGAGGAGUUUAGACCAGGAUGGGAGUAGCUUUGUCUAGAUGGAUGCUAUUGGCAUCCCCAUGGAAGUUACAGAUUAAUACAAAGCUAUGAAUCAAAUAGGUGAAGACUUUACCACUACGUUCUUUUGGUGGUUGACAAUAAAUAAAAAUGUGGAUUGGAUUAAUUACAUCUAUUAUAAUCAACAGAGAUUCAUGAAUGAAACCAGGGAUGCAGUAAAGGGGUUCUCUGACCAAUUAUCCACAUCCUGACCUGGAAAAAUAGGUUGGCUCUCGAUAUGUUAUUGGCAGAAAAGGGCCGGGUAUGUAGAAUGAUUGGGGUUCAUUGUUGUACAUUUAUUCCUAAUAACACAGCUCCAAAUGGAUCUGUGACCAAGGCCCUGGCCGGUUUAACCACAUUAGCUCAUAAAUUAGUAGUGAACUCUGCGGUGGAUACCUCCACGACUGGGUGGUCUGAUAGUAUGUUUGGAAAUUGGAAAAAUGUUGUAAUUACUGUAUUGUGGGCUGCUUUCACCUGUAUGAGUGUGUUGGUGUUGUGUGGAUGCUGUUUGAUCCCAUAUGUGAGAGGUUUAAUCACCAGGACUCUAGAGAGAUCGAUGACGCAACAAAUGAUGAGGUAUGGACAGAUUCCGAGCUCCGACCAGUGGGAUGACUACUUCAUGCCUCCAGGCCUAGUAGAUGGUUCCGUUUCCUUCAACCACGAGUAGCCCAGGCAGCCUGUUCAAUUAAUGAAUAUUAUAAUGAAAAUCCUAAAAAGAAGAGUUAUAAUUGGAUAUAGGCCUAGAACAGUCAUUGAUGGGUAUCAGAUGUAAAUACAUGUAUUGGUUUUGUUUGCUUUUGUGUAACAUUUAUGAUUCCAUAUGACGGUUGACGUAUCAGUGUGUAAUAUUUAGUCAAAGGGUGGAUUGAUAAGGGAAUUUAUAUGUUUAAGGUAAUGACUAAAGAAUUCCACCCUGAAAUGUAAUUAUUAGAUUAUGUAACAUGUAUAAGAAUAAUUAGACUAAUGUAAUUAUUAGACUAUGUAAAAUGUAUUAAGAAUAAUUAGACUAAAAUCCAACAAGGUUUGGUUGAGACAAGUAAGGGAGAGAAAUGUGUUUGUGUGUCUAAGAAAACACAGAGGACAAUUAUACAUGACCUGACCUGGUUAAAAGGGUGAAAAAUUUAUGACAGGAAAAGGAGUCCUGUGAAAAGGAAGGGAACGGUAUGGAACUGCCAGCUUGGUAGUGAUAAACGAGGAAUGAGGACUGUGGGGAAAGAUACAUCCCACCCACUGUUUGUGUGUCUGUGUGUGCGUGUAAUCCCCCUACUGUUUGUGUGUCUGUGUGUGCAUGUAAGUAGGUAGGGGGGUGGGAGUUAUAAAAUGACAUGUCUUGGCAUUUUUUGACUUUAGAACGUUCUCUUGAAUAAAGAACCAACCUUGUGCA